UACAUGCUAUGGUUUCAGGCCUA
This 23-nucleotide non-coding RNA is filed under the name Arabidopsis thaliana (thale cress). Lineage: Eukaryota; Viridiplantae; Streptophyta; Magnoliopsida; Brassicales; Brassicaceae. The record is from RNAcentral.